Cinara cedri is the source of this 209-nucleotide non-coding RNA. Lineage: Eukaryota; Metazoa; Arthropoda; Insecta; Hemiptera; Aphididae. The record is from the annotation of a GenBank genome assembly.
UUUUUUUUUAAAUUUCUAUUUUUUCUUGUUUUCUCGAUUAUCUGUAUUACAAUAAAAAUACGGAUUUUAGUAAUUUCACUGUACAACGAAGGUUAAAUAUAAAUAAUUACGAAUUUCAUACAGCCUAAAAUGAUAUAACGAUAAUAAGUCAAUUUUCCUUCGACGUCAAAAUACCAUAUUUUCAUCGUGUUUAACUUUUAACGCGUCCU